Molecule: long non-coding RNA, 561 nt
Organism: Canis lupus familiaris (dog)
Lineage: Eukaryota; Metazoa; Chordata; Mammalia; Carnivora; Canidae
Exons: 3
Source: RefSeq, a predicted model, not a curated record
GGGCUUUUCAAUCUGCGGCUUCACUCGCUGCUGCUGCUGCUGCUGCGAGAACUGAGGGAGGAUCGGCUCUGUUCAUUCAACAAACGUUCAUUGAGCUUGAGCUCUGCUCGGCUCCCUGCUUAGGCGCGGGGUUCUGGUGGCUUGGGAUCCGAACCCUGUCCUCACUCGUUAUUGGAAGAAUUCCAACCAAACAAGGAAGAAGACGAGCCGUCGUCUGAUCACUAUGCAAAGGCACUUUCUUGGCCCUUUGUAGUCUCUCUGACCUUUGCCCCUCAUUCUGCAAGCGCUUCACCACCCCAGAACAGAUUUCUACCUCCAUCUGCAGCGAUGAGUUACAUCCCACACACCAAGACCUCCGGAGGCCUCCCAGGAUGGUGGGCUUUGGGGGAAACUGGGACUUGUACACAGAAGCUGCAGGCCGGGCCACACCUGGCGGGUGGCAGGCGGAGAGCGCAGCGCCCCUCCCGGUGGGGAUGGGGCCGAGCCUGCUCCGCCGGGCUGGGGGCCGUGAGACACCGGAACGCAGGGGCGAGAGGGCAGAGGGAUGCGCAAACGCGCCAC